This 349-nucleotide unclassified non-coding RNA is filed under the name Hevea brasiliensis (rubber tree). Lineage: Eukaryota; Viridiplantae; Streptophyta; Magnoliopsida; Malpighiales; Euphorbiaceae. The record is from RNAcentral.
CACAGCCAUGAGCUUAAUCCUAGCAAAAUACCACCUCGACGAUCACAUAGGAUUGCAUUCAAUGAGGAUGGGAAAGAUCUAAAAAUCCGGGAGCUAUCCACAGAAUUGCAUCGUGAGAAAAAGAAAUCAGCUGCUUAUCAAGAACAGCUACAGAUAGUCUUGAAAUAUAUCGAGGAGCAUACACAAAGGCUAUCACUUAAGAUUGAAGCAGUAUCUAACAAUGUGAGAGAAAUUGAAUGUGAAGAGCCUGACAACUCAGAUUCUAACUAGAAUAUUUUGAAACUAGAAUACAUUGAACGUUUUUUUCCACUACCAUUCAUAUCUGAAUGUGUUUUCGCUUCAUUUACCG